RNAcentral lists this unclassified non-coding RNA (149 nucleotides) under uncultured Ascomycota. RNAcentral's name for it is "sequence contains ITS1". Lineage: Eukaryota; Fungi; Ascomycota. The record is from RNAcentral.
CCAUAGAGGCCUAGAGUCUCAGUGCCCCUAACGGGGAUUUCUACCACCCUUGUUUUGUGAGCACCUUUGUUUCCUCGGCAGGUUCGCCUGCCCGCGGGACUUCUCAACCCUUUGCAGUAGUAGUUUUUGUCAGCAACACGCAAAUAUCA